ACGGGAGCUACCACGGAUGGUCGGGAAGGGAUGGAAGAAUGAAAAAGAAAGAGAAAAAGAAAAAGCGUCAAAGAGAACGUCAAAAUGGUUGUGAAGGACGUCAAAAGCAGGAGACGAGGGCCCUUCAUCUUCAAAAACUCAAAAACCGACAAGGGGAGCCUUAAAAAGCGGGAAGCUCCUCUUCCUUCCAAAUAACGACUCCGUACCACAAAAUCUCAUUUUCCGGCGAUCGGAAAGUCGGAAAGCGAGGGUCCGUCUGCUUUACGGCGAAUCUUUACGGGGGUUCGGGAUCCGCGACAAACGGCGCCUAUAUAUAGGCGAGAGAGUGAGAGUGUUUGCCAUCUUCCACGGAUAGGAAUAACUGAAAACAAGUGAGAGAAUCUUUCUACUCAAGUAAACGAGAUAUCGUGUCGGAAUUUCAACAAAAUCGAUCGCAUAGGGAGAGGGAGCGUGAAGUUUCGGAGGCAAGGUUUAAGGUUCCAAGACGUUGGAGGUGAUGGAUAAGCAAAUUCUCAUGUCGGCACUGGGUGUCGGGCUCGGUGUUGGUGUGGGGCUUGGCUUGGCUUCUGGGCAGGCAGUAAGCAAAUGGACGACAUCAAGUUCUUCCACAGGUGUGACCACUGAGCGAAUUGAGCAGGAGCUGCUGCGACAGGUCAUCGAUGGUAGAGAUAGCAGCGUCAAGUUCGAUGAAUUCCCAUACUACCUCAGUGAGCAGACACGGGUGUUAUUGACAAGUGCAGCAUAUGUUCAUUUGAAGCAAGCUGAAUUUUCUAAGUAUACUAGAAAUCUCUCUCCUGCAAGUCAGGCAAUUUUGCUCUCAGGUCCUGCUGAGCUUUACCAGCAAAUGCUUGCGAAAGCUUUGGCCCAUUAUUUCGAAGCCAAGUUGCUAUUGCUAGAUGUAACCGACUUUUCACUAAAGAUGCAGUGCAAAUAUGGAAGUCCCAAUAAAGAAUCAUCGUUCAAGAGGUCCAUCUCUGAGGCUGCAAUGGAGCAGAUGUCUAAUUUAUUUGGAUCAUUUUCAAUGCUUCCAUCAAGAGAGGAACCCAGAGGGACAUUAAGGAGGCAAAGCAGUGGUGUGGAUAUAAGGUCAAGGGGAUCUGAAUCUCCUAAUAAUGCUCCAAAGCUUCGUAGAAAUGCUUCUGCUGCAGCUGAAAUCAGUAACCUUGCUUCACAAUGCUCUCCUGUCAAUCCAGUUCCUCUCAAGCGCACCAGCAGCUGGUCUUUUGAUGAGAAACUUCUUAUACAGUCACUUUACAAGGUUCUGGUCUCAGUAUCAAAAACCAAUCCCUUUAUCCUCUACCUCAGGGAUGUUGAAAAACUCCUCCUUAGGUCCCAAAGGGCAUAUACCUUGUUCCAGAAAAUGUUGAAGAAAUUAUCGGGGCCAGUAUUGAUACUUGGUUCAAGGAUGUUGGAUCCGGGUAAUGAUUAUGGAGAGGUGGAUGAGAAGCUCAGCCUUCUAUUCCCUUACAACAUAGAGAUCAAGCCACCAGAGGAUGAGACUCACCUUGUCAGCUGGAAAUCCCAACUGGAAGAAGACAUGAAAAUGAUUCAGUUUCAGGAUAACAGAAACCACAUCACUGAGGUACUUGCAGCAAACGAUCUUGACUGUGACGAUCUGGGUUCAAUCUGCCUUGCAGAUACAAUGGUACUCGGUAAUUACAUAGAAGAGAUUGUGGUAUCAGCAAUUUCUUAUCACCUGAUGAAUAACAAGGACCCUGAGUACAGAAAUGGAAAUCUUGUCAUUUCAUCUAAGAGUUUGUCCCAUGGAUUGAGCAUAUUCCAGGAAGGUAAGCUUGGUGGCAAAGACACUCUAAAGCUGGAAGCAAAUGCUGAAGCUGGAAAGGAGGCUGAAGAGGAAGAUGCUACUGCUGGUGCGAAGUCUGACGCAAAGACUGAGGGUUCGAUGCCUGAGAAUAAAAGUGAAGCAGAGAAAUCAGUUCCAGUGGUGAAGAAGGAUGGCGAAAAUUCAUCUCCUUCAACAAAAACACCUGAAGUGGCUCCUGAUAAUGAGUUUGAGAAGCGCAUUAGACCUGAGGUCAUCCCAGCUAGUGAAAUUGCAGUUACAUUUGCUGAUAUAGGUGCCUUGGAUGACAUUAAAGAAUCACUUCAGGAACUGGUCAUGCUUCCCCUUCGGAGGCCUGAUCUCUUUAAAGGAGGACUCCUAAAGCCUUGCAGAGGAAUAUUAUUGUUUGGACCACCUGGUACUGGAAAAACAAUGAUGGCAAAGGCCAUCGCCAAAGAAGCUGGAGCAAGUUUCAUCAAUGUCUCCAUGUCCACCAUCACGUCAAAAUGGUUUGGGGAAGAUGAGAAAAACGUUAGGGCUUUGUUUACCCUAGCAGCCAAGGUUUCUCCAACCAUCAUCUUCGUAGACGAGGUUGAUAGCAUGCUUGGGCAACGGACUAGAGUUGGGGAGCAUGAGGCCAUGCGGAAGAUUAAAAAUGAGUUCAUGACUCAUUGGGAUGGGCUCUUGACAAAACCUGGAGAACGGAUCCUUGUCCUUGCUGCAACAAACAGGCCAUUUGACCUUGAUGAAGCAAUUAUCAGGCGGUUCGAGCGCAGGAUCAUGGUCGGCCUUCCAUCAGUGGAGAGUAGAGAACAGAUCUUGAGAACGCUUUUGUUGAAAGAAAAGAUUGAAGAAGGACUUGACUUUCAGGAGCUUGCAGUUAUGACGGAAGGAUAUAGUGGAAGUGAUCUCAAGAACUUGUGUACAACGGCGGCAUAUCGGCCUGUUAGGGAGCUAAUACAGAAAGAAAGACUAAAGGAUUUGAGAUACCUUUUAAUCACAGGAGAGGAAGCAGAACACUGAGGAAGGACAGAAUACAGAAGGGGAUUCAGAUACUAGAGAAGCAGAUAAGGAGGAAACAUUAAUUGACCUAAGGCCAUUAAACAUGGAGGAUAUGAGACAGGCAAAGAACCAAGUUGCUGCCAGUUUUGCUUCUGAGGGUUCUAUCAUGGGUGAGCUGAAGCAAUGGAAUGAUUUGUAUGGGGAAGGAGGCUCAAGGAAGAAGCAGCAGUUAACAUACUUCCUUUAGUGCAGAGGAUUGCUCUCACCAUUCCAUUCAUUAGUCCCAUUCUCCAUGCAAGAGAGCGGAAAUUCAAGGGAAAACAUGCACUUGUCUGAAACUGUUGGAUGUUUCUAGUUUGGACGUCAUCCGAUUCGUGGAAUGAAAGCACCUAAUGAAGACACUCAGUUAGAGUCCUUGCAAUCUCAGGAAGCACAAAAUCCAUAUGUAAUAUUUUCCAUCUAAUAUAUUUGGUAUGUGUGUAUCAUGCUUGUGUUUUGCGCGUGCCAUCAAACGAAUAAGUCCCAGGAACUUGCUACUGCUACAAGCAUCAUGUAUCUUUGUUCUUUAGGCUUUCCCUGAAAGCUGACCAUUUUUGGUUUCUUUCUUA
RNA transcript from Magnolia sinica, 3393 nucleotides. RefSeq lists it as uncharacterized. The transcript is spliced from 17 exons. The record is from RefSeq and is a predicted model, not a curated record. NCBI's taxonomy places the organism in Eukaryota, Viridiplantae, Streptophyta, Magnoliopsida, Magnoliales, Magnoliaceae.